RNAcentral lists this unclassified non-coding RNA (218 nucleotides) under Hevea brasiliensis (rubber tree). The record is from RNAcentral. Lineage: Eukaryota; Viridiplantae; Streptophyta; Magnoliopsida; Malpighiales; Euphorbiaceae.
AUGUUAUAGGCUUCAGCACAUGAACCAUGAUGUUUCAAUCAGGAUCAUUCACUGAAGUGUAACAUGCUCCACAAUAUUCAGUUACUCACACAGAUACAUUGAACUCGUAAAAUUAUUCAACUAGUAGUGUUAGAAACCAUCAUUGCAAAAACAGUUCAAACAUGUUUAAGUUGAAUAAGUUGAGAAUAUUGAAUGUAAGCCAAAAUAGUGCUUAAACA